GACGAACGCUGGCGGCGUGCUUAACACAUGCAAGUCGAACGGAGAAUUUUACUUCGGUGAAAUUCUUAGUGGCGAACGGGUGAGUAACGCGUAGACAACCUGCCUCUUAGAUGGGGACAACAUCGCGAAAGCGGUGCUAAUACCGAAUGAAGUGGAGCUUCCGCAUGGAAGCAUCACCAAAGGUGGCCUCUAUUUAUAAGCUACCACUGAGAGAUGGGUCUGCGUCUGAUUAGCUAGUUGGGGGGGUAAUGGCCCACCAAGGCGACGAUCAGUGGCCGGUCUGAGAGGAUGAACGGCCACAUUGGGACUGGGAAACGGCCCAAACUCAUACGGGAGGCAGCAGUGGGGAAUCUUCCGCAAUGGACGAAAGUCUGACGGAGCAACGCCGCGUGAGUGAAGAAGGUUUUCGGAUCGUAAAGCUCUGUUGUUUGAGACGAAUGUGCAGACUUUGAAUAAGGGUUUGUAAUGACGGUAUUAAACGAGAAAGCCACGGCUAACUACGUGCCAGCAGCCGCCGUAA
RNAcentral lists this ribosomal RNA (520 nucleotides) under uncultured bacterium. Its description in RNAcentral is "partial 16S ribosomal RNA". It matches the Rfam family "Bacterial small subunit ribosomal RNA", at positions 28 to 523 of the family's 1533-position model. The record is from RNAcentral.